AAAACACAUCAAACGAAUGUACAAUAACUGUAUUAUUCCUGACUUAGUACAGGCAUUUUCAAAUGUAGAAAAUGGUGGAUUGAACCUGGUUUUAUAGAACUAAACCUCUUACUUGUAUGACAGUCGCAUAAAGUCCAUUAUAUUUGAACGAUGUGUGAACAAAACAGACAUAUAGGGAAAAUAGUCAAAAUAUGGAUACUGCAGUCUGUGUCACAAUCUCAAAACAAACCAAAAAACAAUAUUUAACAAAAAAGCACAAAAAGCUUAGAAACAGUAGGAGCUAUAUGAUGGUAAUAUAAGAUGGUAAUGUAGCAACACG
This 319-nucleotide long non-coding RNA is filed under the name Mytilus galloprovincialis (Mediterranean mussel). Lineage: Eukaryota; Metazoa; Mollusca; Bivalvia; Mytilida; Mytilidae. The record is from RNAcentral.